CCGUGCUAGAUGGGGUGCUAGCGGUGCCUUGUAACCUGUAAUCCGCUAUAACAGGAUCGAAGCCAUUUAGAGGUGUUUAUUGGUAGGGUCUGACUUUAAUAAGUGGUGUUGAUGAAUGGGUCCUACGCAAUGGGAAAUUGUGAACCCUGUCAGGUCCGGAAGGAAGCAGCAGUAAGCAAACCUUUCCAUGUGACGUAGGAGUGCCUGUUUUGAGCUAACUGGUGGAGUAACGCUUGUUUAUAUUCUUCGAAGAAUGGUGCACGG
This 264-nucleotide signal recognition particle RNA is filed under the name Acidaminobacter sp. JC074. RNAcentral's name for it is "signal recognition particle sRNA large type". It matches the Rfam family "Bacterial large signal recognition particle RNA". Rfam says of the family: The signal recognition particle (SRP) is a universally conserved ribonucleoprotein involved in the co-translational targeting of proteins to membranes. Archaeal SRP consists of a 7S RNA and homologues of the eukaryotic SRP19 and SRP54 proteins. In most bacteria, the SRP consists of a 4.5S RNA and the Ffh protein (a homologue of the eukaryotic SRP54 protein). The record is from RNAcentral. Lineage: Bacteria; Bacillati; Bacillota; Clostridia; Peptostreptococcales; Acidaminobacteraceae.